Molecule: ribosomal RNA, 483 nt
Filed under: uncultured bacterium
Lineage: Bacteria
Description: partial 16S ribosomal RNA
Rfam family: Bacterial small subunit ribosomal RNA
Source: RNAcentral
GACGAACGCUGGCGGCGUGCUUAACACAUGCAAGUCGAACGCUGAAGCUCAGCUUUUGUUGGGUGGAUGAGUGGCGAACGGGUGAGUAACACGUGAGUAACCUGCCCCCUUCUUUGGGAUAACGCCCGGAAACGGGUGCUAAUACUGGAUAUUCACUGGUCUUCGCAUGGGGGUUGGUGGAAAGGGUUUUUCUGGUGGGGGAUGGGCUCGCGGCCUAUCAGCUUGUUGGUGGGGUGAUGGCCUACCAAGGCUUUGACGGGUUGCCAGCCUGAGAGGGUACCCUGUCACAUUGAGACGGAGCAACCGCCCAGGCUCCUACGCGGGGCAGCAUUGGGGACUAUUGCACAAUGGGCGCAAGCCUCAUGCCGCGUCGGUGCGUGAGGCAUGGAGGUCUUCGGGUUGUGAACCUCUUUCGCUCAUGGUCCAGCCGCAACAAUGGUUGUGGUGAGGGUAGUGGGUAAAGAAGCGCCGGCUAACUACGUG